UGCCGCUAAAACAAGCGAUUAGAGCUCUCCAGUCUAAUCGGAAUUAAAAAUCCUCUACUUCCCUCUCUGGGAUGAAAAUGGAGGAUUCUAAUUGGUUUAUUUCCUUAUGCGUUAUGCAAAAGUCUGUGUUUCUGUCCUAUGAGAGUACCAGCGUGCUGGCCUAAAAUGGCGGCGAUGCUGGCAACAAGGUGGGAGUGCCAUUCGCGCUUCUCUAUAUUUUAGGACUCCGAUGGUGUUCCAUCGCGCACAACGUUUAUGUAUAUGUUUAUGUCAAUUUUUCGUCAUAUUUCAUUGGUUCCUUGACGCCAUGAUGACAAAUGACAGUUUUGAUGCUACAUUGAUACCACUUUAACUGACACUACGCUUACGCGAGCGUUACUUCUAGUAGGAUUCUCACAGCCAUAAACCGGUCCUAAACUACUGCACAGUUUAUUGGUGCAGCCUGAAACACCUGACGAAAUAUCCACAGUGAUGCACCAUCUUACUAAAUAAAAGGAGAAAUGAUAGAAAACGAAAGAGGAAGAUCGAUAGGGCAUACAGUGCAUAUACUUGGAACUUGGAAGGCCUAUAGCCAAGAGAUUAGCUUAGUAACUAACCAAAUGAAACAAAUAGUAAUUAUAAAUACGUAUUCCACGGCUCUUGCAAUAUUAAAAAUAAAAGAAAUUGUUUAGUAAAAAUAAUAAGAAAGAAAAAAGAAAAUAAUUAUUGCAAAAAUAUACAGAGAAUAAUGCUGACAGAUAUAGAGAAGAAACGUUAAUAAUAAGUGAAUUACAUAAAUUAAAUAUUCUUUCUCUUCGUCUCAUCGCUCAAUUAAUUUAGUUAAAAUAAAGAAAAAAAGAAAGAAUCUUUUAAAUAGCCGUUGAAUAUUUUGAGACGCAAGAGAAAAACAUUACAAAACUGUAUAUAUUUUUGCGAAGUCUUUAUAUCAAUUCUUUUUCACAAAUUCAUUAAGCACAACUAAUGAAAUAUGUAUCUUGAUAAAUAUAUUCUGUUUCACUAUUUUUCAAUAAUAUAAGGAGUCAUGAUGGAUUUCUGCGAUAUAAAAAGCAGUGGAAAAUCAUUUAGAUAAAGAAUCACGAUGGGUUUGAAAUUAGCCACAAGAGUUGCCGAUGUGGCAAACUCGCGUGAACACGCAGCCGACUUCUUUGUGUUCGAGACACGGCCAAGAAACCGGUUUCAUCAGCGAAGGGUCACUUCUCUUCUCUCUUUCUCUUUCCUUCUUCGUAAAUGAACUAAGCGUGAAAUACACAUGCGGUCUGUUCUGUUUCAAUAGAGUUCAACUAGCAUGGGUGAACUGGUUAUCGCCGAUCGUAUGUAAUCGACACGCAGACAAUACGCAUGCUAUUACCUAUCGCGACAUGUGCAGAUGUACUCGUGUAUGCACGUCAUACUUACUUUCUCACGCUAAUUACAAAAGACAAGUGAUUUAAUUCAGGAUUACAUCUACUAUAUUUAGUUGAAAAAUUAAUUUAUGUAAUACCAGGGUUGGGUAACUUUAUUUUUUUUCUUUAACUAAGUUAAGUUUAAAGUUAAUGACCCAGAAAUUAACUAAGCUUACGUUAAAAGUUACUUAUAAACACAAAAAUUAAACUCAAUUAAAGUUAAGUUAAAAACUUAAAUUAACUUAUUAAAGUUAAAAAGUUAUAAUUAACAUAUUUUUUUGAUGCACUGCGACCAACCAUUUUCACGACUUUAAUAUUGAUGAAUUAUUUUAACUUGUAUAAAAAAGUUAAUGCAUUUAAAAAUAACUAGUUUAAGUUACAAGUUAACAUAUAUAUUUAAAAUUAACGAAGUCAAGUUAAAAGUUAAUAACUUUUUAACUUAACUUUGAACUAUUUAACUAGUUACUACCCAACCCUGCAUAUAAUAAUAUUUCCUGCACACACAAUAUUUACCAAUUAAUAGUGUGUACAGAAUAGUCCAUUUAAUAUGACCGAUAUGCUAAUACUUUAAAAGAUACAUUGCAUCAGAAAAUGUUUAAAACAAAAGUUAAAGAGUUACAAAGGACACAUAACAUGGUAAUAUUUGUACAACCUUGAAUGUAAACAUCAAAGUUAUACGAGAGAAUAUACCGUCAAAUUUUAUUUUU
RNAcentral lists this long non-coding RNA (2089 nucleotides) under Ooceraea biroi (clonal raider ant). Its description in RNAcentral is "uncharacterized LOC105276646". Lineage: Eukaryota; Metazoa; Arthropoda; Insecta; Hymenoptera; Formicidae. The record is from RNAcentral.